This 440-nucleotide ribosomal RNA is filed under the name uncultured bacterium. Its description in RNAcentral is "bacterial SSU rRNA". It matches the Rfam family "Bacterial small subunit ribosomal RNA", at positions 338 to 794 of the family's 1533-position model. The record is from RNAcentral.
CCUACGGGAGGCAGCAGUGGGGAAUCUUGCGCAAUGGGCGAAAGCCUGACGCAGCAACGCCGCGUGGGGGAUGAAGGCUCUCGGGUUGUAAACCCCUUUCAGCAGGGACGAUUGUGACGGUACCUGCAGAAGAAGCCCCGGCCAACUACGUGCCAGCAGCCGCGGUAAUACGUAGGGGGCAAGCGUUGUCCGGAUUUAUUGGGCGUAAAGAGCUCGUAGGCGGCUCAGUAAGUCGGGUGUGAAACCUCCAGGCUCAACCUGGAGACGCCACCCGAUACUGCUGUGGCUUGAGUCCGGUAGGGGAGCACGGAAUUCCUGGUGUAGCGGUGAAAUGCGCAGAUAUCAGGAGGAACACCAGUGGCGAAGGCGGUGCUCUGGGCCGGAACUGACGCUGAGGAGCGAAAGCGUGGGGAGCAAACAGGAUUAGAUACCCGAGUAGU